CAGGGUAAGUAACAGAAGAGCUGCAAUCUCUGCUCCACCCUGCUGGUCGCUUUUGUGCAAGUGGCUCCAAAGCUACAGUGAAAUGCUUUGGCAAAAUGCAGGCUGUGAUCACUCUAGCAAAGUCAGAAGGAGGGCAUGUGAGGAACCUUUCUAUCCAGUUUGUGUGGGUGGAAAGCAUCUGGGGGAGUCAUAAUGACCCCUCUGUUUCUGAUGGAGAUGAGUAAGCAUGAGUAAGAGCUAGGGAGCCAGCCUGUUUCACCACAGUGAUGAGUUUUGCAUGAGCUUAAUGGGGGCAUCUGUCUCAUGAGUUGCCACUAGUCUGCAGGACCUUCGCGGGAGACUAAUGUGUUUGUAAUCAGCUCUUACUGGAACCCGUUCAGCAUCAGUGUGUCUCUGUUCUGGGUCUUUUCAACAGGAACACAUGGGGAAUACCAUGAACAGGUGUUAUGGGUGGAUGUGUGGUGCUCAUUGUGUGUGUAAUAGAAGAGGUUACUUGUCAGCUCAGGUGCAAUAGAGAUGUAAGGAACACAAAAAAUAUGCCCAUGCUCCAGGACCCACAUGGAGAGGCCCUGUUCCAUGACCAAUGUGCAGAGCUCCUGCUCCAGGACCAAUGUGGAGAGCCCCUGCUCCAGGACCCAAAUGGAGAGCCCCGGCUCCAGGACCAACGUGGCUAGCCCCUGCUCCAGGACCCACAUGGAGAGACCCGGCUCCAGGACCCAUGUGGAGAGCCCCUGCUCCAUGGCCCAUGUGGAGAGACUUCUUCUUUUUCUUAGCUUUGAUUGUUUUGACACCUCUUCUUUUUGAGGCAGAUGAUGUCAUGCUCCUGCUCCGCUUAUCUUGUCAAUGGGUUGACCUCUCUCUGACCUUGGGUUGACCUCUCUCUGACCUUGGAAAGGUCCAAGGAGGAGUCAAAGCCCUGCUCUUGCUGGUUUGCCCAUUAGUGUGGCUGAAGGAUGGCCCCGUGUGGGCCCACCAAACAGCAUCUGAGGUUGUAAAAGGGGCGGAGUUAAGCGAAGGACCACACGUGAUUGUACAGGGGCCUGCGAGUUGAGACUGUCUACGAGGGGCAACUCUGUGGCUAUCCCUGUAAUUCAUAUCAGGGCAGCAAGAAGGAUGAUGGAUUUCACAGGUGUCCGCCGACCCACUAUGAAAGGGCAUGUUUUGUUUUUUUUGUGGGUGUGUGUGCGUGUGUGUGUGUGUGUUUGUGUGUGCGCAUGUGUGUGUUCAUGUGUGUGCUUAAUUAUAAAGAAACCUUUAAAUGACUGAAUUGAAAGGGCAUCAAAGCAACAAGAAAAUGAAUACAGAAAAUUUUGAAAAUGAGCUGGAAACCAAACACACUACUCAACUGAUUCCACAGAUGUUACAUUAAUGUCCAGGGAGGUGAUGUUGCAUUUAACAUCCAGAGUAACAAGUUGACAGGGAGUUCUGUGUUAUUUUUUUAUGCUGUGAAAUUUUUUAUUAAAUCAUGUUUUCCCCAAAUUCACAGCAUAGCUGGAGUAGGGAAACAGGACAAACGAACAAAGUAAGAAGCUCAGCAGAAAAAUAAAGAAACACAAAAGAAGGAAAAAAUUGGAGGUAAUGCUGAUGUACUCAAUGGUCAUGUGGACCAAGAACAGAUCAUCGGCAAGUCAAGUGGACAUCAGGGAAUUUGAAGGGUUCUUGAUUCUAAUGGAAUUACUAAGACUAAGCCUCACUGGCUUUCCUUAGUUCCUGAUUCAGUUGUUUGUGACAUAAGGGGAAAUCUUUUGUACCAGAAGGCAGAAUGUUGAAUACACAAGUAAGCACAGUUGAGAUGAUAACCAGGUUAUAUGAGCAAAAACAAACAAAGCAAAAGCUUUCUCCUGGGAAAUAUACUUUUUGAUGUAUUCUGCUGUCCAUUAAAAAACUGUGAAAUAUGUGAGCUGGUUCUCAGAAAGGUUGGCUAUGUGGUAGUAUCUUUGAAAUGAACCGAACCUCAGAAGCAUUAUGAGAAAGUUCUAGGCAGGAGGUUUUCACACAGUUGUUCCAACACAGGACCAGAAAGGGCAAGCACAACCAAAUCAAACGCAUUAGAUUUUAAGCCUGGGACAUGGGUUAGGCCUAUAGCAAAUGUACCAUGAGACAGAUGUCAUGAAGGCCAAAUGGAUAUGGCUUAACUUCAACCAGUUACCAGCUCCAUUUCAGUGUGGCAAAACAGGCACCAUUAAACUUAAGAGGCAACAAAAAAUGAGUU
Electrophorus electricus (electric eel) is the source of this 2212-nucleotide non-coding RNA. Lineage: Eukaryota; Metazoa; Chordata; Actinopteri; Gymnotiformes; Gymnotidae. The record is from RefSeq and is a predicted model, not a curated record.